GGAGGAUGGCUUGAACCCAGGAGGCGAAGGUUGCAGUGAGCUAAGAUUGGGCCACUGCACUCCAGCCUGGGUGACAGAG
This 79-nucleotide small nuclear RNA is filed under the name Homo sapiens (human). RNAcentral describes it as "partial ncRNA". The record is from RNAcentral. Lineage: Eukaryota; Metazoa; Chordata; Mammalia; Primates; Hominidae.